RNAcentral lists this long non-coding RNA (1756 nucleotides) under Mus musculus (house mouse). RNAcentral's name for it is "expressed sequence BB123696". Lineage: Eukaryota; Metazoa; Chordata; Mammalia; Rodentia; Muridae. The record is from RNAcentral.
AGAUGAACAUGGCUGGCACUGGCUGUGGCAUGCAGGUGUGCUUCCUGAGGGCCACUGCAAGUUGGGGGCAAGCUUCUGCAUGCAAGUCACCUGCAUUCACUCGGCAGGGAGGACGAGAGCACUUGGCUACCUGAAGUCCACGCUCCAUCUCCCUGGAGCAAUGCCCAUGAUCACAACGACUCCCAUCACCAUUAUGAAUCAAGGCUGCCAGUGAAGCUCUGCUGCUGUCCCUCAGCCUGACACCUGAUUUAUAAUCAUGGGUUUAUGUCAAGUGUUUAAUUUAAACAACUGCGCUCCAACGUUUAGAGGAGAAUAAAUUCUUGGAAUGGAGAUGAAAUGUCCAGCUUGGAGGCCAGCUAUGGCGGCACUUGGGAGGCAGAGGUGGGAGGAUCUCUGUGAUUUGAGGCUCGCCUGGUCUACAAAGUAUGUUCCAGAACAGCCAGGGCUAAGUAUGAGACCCUGUCAUUCUGAGUGGCAUCCUUCCGAUCUGCUUCCCAUGUGUGUGCGUGUGUGCAGCUAGGGCCUGCCCCACUGCCCGUGGCUUCUGAGAUAACUCCUAAAGGAGGUAAAAGUGUUGUUGGAAAAGUUCACCAGGAAAAGAACAUUCCCGUUACAGAAGAAAAUUGCAAAACUGAGACAGAAAUAAAGACCACGAUGCAGCCACAGAAGAAUCUCGACCUUCUUGAACACUGAAAAGCUAGCUGCUACGGUUGUUUCCAUUACAAUAGGAUUCUCAGUGAAAAUCGAGCCUUAUGCGUGAGAUCAAUCAGGUAAGUUUGUACAAACGGGCAUUAUCUGUAGCAGGAACAGCAGGGCCACCUCUGUGUAAACGCUGGGGGCCACACAGCCACUAAAAGCACCCCCUGCAGGAGGACCUAAUUGAGGACUGCCUGAGAGACCAAGGAUUGCUGCUGCAGACAAUGCCAGCCAAUCAGGAACUGCUGUUUAGAGGAGAUGCUUGCUUGGGACCAAUGGGCCAUAGGUGGAGCGUAUUAAAUGAGCUUGCAGCAGUGCUCAGAUGAGCUUUCUGAAGAGUUUCUCUUCUGCUCCUGGAGUCUGUGUCGUUGAUUCUGCUCCAUCUCCCCCCCCCCCCCGCCCCCCAAGGGCAGGUAGGGUCAGGCGUCGAGUGGUCCAGGACACGGGUAGCGGAAUCUUAACGGGAGUCAUCAGGUUCCUUUCCCACUGAGAAUGCAAGUACAUUUCUCAGAGGUCAGUUGAUCUGGUAAAGCAUCUCAAAGGCCUGAAUCACUCCGUGAUUGUGGACAAUUGGCUGAACCCCAUCUCAGUGGAAGGUAGUUUAAAAAAAAAUGAAGAAAACACUCAACCAAACCACGUGAAUGCCAAGAGAGAACUGCCUUCCUAGGACGCGAACAGAUCCUAGUGCGGGAUUAAGGAACGUUCUGAAGUGAAUAUGUCAGGCUGGGAAUGACGACGUUCGUAAAGCAUGGGUGGAAUGAAGAGAGACACCGAUAAAGGAAACAUCUGAGCCUUUGAUUUCCCCUGGAAACUGUGCAGUGGAAACGCUCAUUUCCAGUGAGGCACAUCGUUGAACUGCACCUAUAAAUUUGACAGAUGAGUAUUUGUGUAGCCUUCUAAGUAAAGACAGCAGAUUCUCCAUUUCUUACCGAGGAUUUGAUUUAAAUAAAUGUGCCUAUUACAUUUCCUUCUUCAUCUACACCCUGGGCAUUUUGUUUAAGAAAAGGGUUACUCAGUUUGUUUGUUUAUUUGUUUUUUAUUGAAAUAUAAAAGGGAAGCC